UACGUAGGGGGCUAGCGUUGUCCGGAAUCAUUGGGCGUAAAGAGCGUGUAGGCGGCCCGGUAAGUCCGCUGUAAAAGUCAAAGGCUCAACCUUUGAAUGUCAGUGGAUACUGCCGGGCUAGAGUCCGGAAGAGGCGAGUGGAACUCCUGGUGUAGCGGUGGAAUGCGCAGAUAUCAGGAGGAACACCAAUUGCGAAGGCAGCUCGCUGGGACGUAACUGACGCUGAGACGCGAAAGCGUGGGGAGCAAACAGG
This 253-nucleotide ribosomal RNA is filed under the name uncultured bacterium. RNAcentral's name for it is "partial 16S ribosomal RNA". It matches the Rfam family "Bacterial small subunit ribosomal RNA", at positions 524 to 776 of the family's 1533-position model. The record is from RNAcentral.